UACGGAGGGUGCGAGCGUUAUCCGGAUUUACUGGGGUUAAAGGGUGCGUAGGCGGACUGUUAAGUCAGUGGUGAAAGAUUCGGGCUCAACCCGAAAAUUGCCAUUGAUACUGGCAGUCUUGAGUACAGUUGAGGUAGGCGGAAUGUGUCAUGUAGCGGUGAAAUGCAUAGAUAUGACACAGAACACCGAUUGCGAAGGCAGCUUGCUAAACUGUAACUGACGCUGAGGCACGAAAGUGUGGGGAUCAAACAGG
Molecule: ribosomal RNA, 253 nt
Filed under: uncultured bacterium
Lineage: Bacteria
Description: partial 16S ribosomal RNA
Rfam family: Bacterial small subunit ribosomal RNA
Source: RNAcentral